CGGAGGGAGCUAGCGUUAUUCGGAAUUACUGGGCGUAAAGCGCACGUAGGCGGCUUUGUAAGUAAGAGGUGAAAGCCUGGUGCUCAACACCAGAACUGCCUUUAGACUGCAUCGCUUGAAUCCAGGAGAGGUGAGUGGAAUUCCGAGUGUAGAGGUGAAAUUCGUAGAUAUUCGGAAGAACACCAGUGGCGAAGGCGGCUCACUGGACUGGUAUUGACGCUGAGGUGCGAAAGCGUGGGGAGCAAACAGGAUU
Molecule: ribosomal RNA, 253 nt
Filed under: uncultured bacterium
Lineage: Bacteria
Description: partial 16S ribosomal RNA
Rfam family: Bacterial small subunit ribosomal RNA
Source: RNAcentral